GUUAGUGGUGUACGUCAUCUCGUA
This 24-nucleotide non-coding RNA is filed under the name Arabidopsis thaliana (thale cress). The record is from RNAcentral. Lineage: Eukaryota; Viridiplantae; Streptophyta; Magnoliopsida; Brassicales; Brassicaceae.